This 75-nucleotide transfer RNA is filed under the name Dehalococcoidia bacterium. RNAcentral's name for it is "tRNA-Gly". It matches the Rfam family "tRNA". From Rfam's summary of the family: Transfer RNA (tRNA) molecules are approximately 80 nucleotides in length. Their secondary structure includes four short double-helical elements and three loops (D, anti-codon, and T loops). Further hydrogen bonds mediate the characteristic L-shaped molecular structure. tRNAs have two regions of fundamental functional importance: the anti-codon, which is responsible for specific mRNA codon recognition, and the 3' end, to which the tRNAs corresponding amino acid is attached (by aminoacyl-tRNA synthetases). tRNAs cope with the degeneracy of the genetic code in two manners: having more than one tRNA (with a specific anti-codon) for a particular amino acid; and 'wobble' base-pairing, i.e. permitting non-standard base-pairing at the 3rd anti-codon position. The record is from RNAcentral. Lineage: Bacteria; Bacillati; Chloroflexota; Dehalococcoidia.
GCGGGAGUAGCUCAGUGGCAGAGCAUCUGCCUUCCAAGCAGAUCGUCGUGGGUUCGAUUCCCAUCUCCCGCUCCA